Molecule: non-coding RNA, 29 nt
Filed under: Mus musculus (house mouse)
Lineage: Eukaryota; Metazoa; Chordata; Mammalia; Rodentia; Muridae
Source: RNAcentral
UAAUCGAAAAUUAGAAUUUUGAGAAAAAA